GAUGAACGCUAGCGGGAGGCCUAACACAUGCAAGCCGAGCGGUAUUGUUUCUUCGGAAAUGAGAGAGCGGCGUACGGGUGCGUAACACGUGUGCAACCUGCCUUUAUCUGGGGGAUAGCCUUUCGAAAGGAAGAUUAAUACUCCAUAAUAUAUUGAACGGCAUCGUUUAAUAUUGAAAGCUCCGGCGGAUAGAGAUGGGCACGCGCAAGAUUAGCUAGUUGGUGAGGUAACGGCUCACCAAGGCGAUGAUCUUUAGGGGGCCUGAGAGGGUGAUCCCCCACACUGGUACUGAGACACGGACCAGACUCCUACGGGAGGCAGCAGUGAGGAAUAUUGGUCAAUGGGUGCAAGCCUGAACCAGCCAUCCCGCGUGAAGGACGACUGCCCUAUGGGUUGUAAACUUCUUUUGUAUAGGGAUAAACCUACCCUCGAGAGGGUAGCUGAAGGUACUAGACGAAUAAGCACCGGCUAACUCCGUG
Molecule: ribosomal RNA, 479 nt
Filed under: uncultured bacterium
Lineage: Bacteria
Description: partial 16S ribosomal RNA
Rfam family: Bacterial small subunit ribosomal RNA
Source: RNAcentral